Molecule: ribosomal RNA, 292 nt
Filed under: uncultured bacterium
Lineage: Bacteria
Description: partial 16S ribosomal RNA
Rfam family: Bacterial small subunit ribosomal RNA
Source: RNAcentral
GUGUCAGCAGCCGCGGUAAUACGAAGGGGGCUAGCGUUGUUCGGAAUUACUGGGCGUAAAGCGCACGUAGGCGGAUUGUUAAGUCGGGGGUGAAAUCCCGGGGCCCAACCCCGGAACUGCCUUCGAUACUGGCGAUCUGGAGUCCGGAAGAGGUGAGUGGAAUUCCCAGUGUAGAGGUGAAAUUCGUAGAUAUUGGGAAGAACACCAGUGGCGAAGGCGGCUCACUGGUCCGGUACUGACGCUGAGGUGCGAAAGCGUGGGGAGCAAACAGGAUUAGAAACCCUGGUAGUCC